Molecule: ribosomal RNA, 531 nt
Filed under: uncultured bacterium
Lineage: Bacteria
Description: bacterial SSU rRNA
Rfam family: Bacterial small subunit ribosomal RNA
Source: RNAcentral
CUUGACAUCCAGAGAAUUUAGCAGAGAUGCUUUAGUGCCUUCGGGAACUCUGAGACAGGUGCUGCAUGGCUGUCGUCAGCUCGUGUUGUGAAAUGGUUGGGUUAACGUCCGCAACGAGCGCAACCCUUAUCCUUUGUUGCCAGCACGUAAUGGUGGGAACUCAAAGGAGACUGCCGGUGAUAAACCGGAGGAAGGUGGGGAUGACGUCAAGUCAUCAUGGCCCUUACGAGUAGGGCUACACACGUGCUACAAUGGCGUAUACAAAGAGAAGCGACCUCGCGAGAGCAAGCGGACCUCAUAAAGUGCGUCGUAGUCCGGAUUGGAGUCUGCAACUCGACUCCAUGAAGUCGGAAUCGCUAGUAAUCGUAAAUCAGAAUGUUACGGUGAAUACGUUCCCGGGCCUUGUACACACCGCCCGUCACACCAUGGGAGUGGGUUGCAAAAGAAGUAGAUAGCUUAACCUUCGGGAGGGCGUUUACCACUUUGUGAUUCAUGACUGGGGUGAAGUCGUAACAAGGUAGGCGUAGUGCU